RNAcentral lists this ribosomal RNA (312 nucleotides) under Triticum aestivum (bread wheat). Its description in RNAcentral is "partial small subunit ribosomal RNA". Lineage: Eukaryota; Viridiplantae; Streptophyta; Magnoliopsida; Poales; Poaceae. The record is from RNAcentral.
AUGCUGCCUAAGAACCUAAUAAUUCCCUUUCCCAGGCCCCCACAACACGUGGGAACUUUUGAUGCUGGGAUAACCUUUGGCUAUAUGUUUGAGAGUGAUAUAUAUAUCUUUCUCCUUUGCACUAAUUCUUCUGCAUCAAAUGUUUUGAAGAACUCUGGCACGUCCUACCUGCAAAGAAAUAUUUCUUUUAUUUUUACGUGCAGUCACAUUCUUUUUGGCUGUGGUUCCCUAAAUUCUACAGUUUAUAGUUUUUCACUGGUUUGCUACUCAGAAGUAGUUUGGGGUUGCAUCUCUUCUGUUACUGAUUUAUAG